RNAcentral lists this long non-coding RNA (1961 nucleotides) under Homo sapiens (human). RNAcentral describes it as "non-protein coding lnc-CXorf36-5:2". The record is from RNAcentral. Lineage: Eukaryota; Metazoa; Chordata; Mammalia; Primates; Hominidae.
AAGAAACUGCCAAACUGUUUUCCAAAGUGAUUGUACCACUUUAUGUUCUCACCUACAAUUUAUGAGUGUGCCAUUUGUUCAAACAUUCUUGCUGACCCUUGAUAUUGGCAGUCCUUAAUUUUAGCUGCACUAGUGGCUAUGAGUAGUAUCUCAUUGUGGUUUCAAAUUGCACUUCCCCAAUGACUAAAGAUGUUGACUUUCUUUCAUGUGUUUAUCUGCCAUUCAUAUGCCUUUUUUGGUUAAAUAUCUCUUCAUAUCUUUUCCCGUUUUUAGAUGGAAUGUUUGUCUUCUCAUUAUUCAGUUUUAAGAGUUUUUAUAUAUUCUGCAUAGAGACCCUUUAUUAGACAUGUGUUUUGCUAAUAUUUUCUCCCAGCCUGUUGCAUGCCUGUUCUUUUUCUUUUUCUUUUUUUUUUUUUUUUUUUGAGACGGAGUCUCGCACUGUCGCCCAGGCUGCAGUGCAGUGGCCCGAUCUCAGCUCACUGCAAGCUCCGCCUCCUGGGUUCAUGCCAUUCUCCUGCCUCAGCUUCCUGAGUAGCUGGGACUACAGGUGCCCACCACCACGCCCGGCUAAUUUUUUGUAUUUUUAGUAGAGACAGGGUUUCACUGUGUUAGCCAGGAUGGUCUGGAACUCCUAACCUCGUGAUCUGCCCGCCUUGGCCUCCCAGAGUGCUGGGAUUACAGGCGUAAGCCACCACGCCUGGCGCCUAUUCUUUUUCUUAACAGUAUUUGUAUUAGUCUGUUUUUACACUGCGAUAAAGAUACUACCUGAGACUGGGUAAUUUAUGAACAAAAGCGGUGCAGCUGCAGAAUUCCCACACUGGCUCUCUGAAUAGUAGGGUGAGGGCUAUUACGGUGGGAAAGGCCAAAUGGAAGUCAUUAGAGCUGCCUCUACCUAGAAAAAUAGUAAAUCAAAAACAAUAUCACAUCCCUGGAGGGAUUGCGGAGAUUAGUGCCACCAUCAAGGACUUGAAUGACACAGGGGUGGUGAUUUCCACCACACUCCCGUUCAACUCUCCUAUUUGGCCUGUGCAGAAGACAGAUGGAUCUUCGAGAAAGACAGUGGAUUUUCUAAGCUUAACCAAGUGGUGACUCCAAUUGCAGCUGCUGUACCAGAUGUGGUUUCAUUGCUUGAGCAAAUUAACACAUUUCCUGGUACCUGGUAUGUAGCCAUUGCCUUGGAAAAUGCCCUUUUCUCCAUUCCUGUCCAUAAGGCCCACAAGAAGCAAUUUGCCUUUGGGUGGCAAGGCCAGCAAUAUGCCUUUACUGUCCUACCUCAGGGUUAUAUCAACUCUCCAGCUUUGUGUCGUAAUCUUAUUCGGAGAGACCUUGAUCGCCGUGCUUCCUCAAGAUAUCACACUGGUGGCGGGGGCGGGGCACGGGUGGUGGUGGCGGGGAGGCCCUGGGCCUGGCCCACAAAGCCAUUUUUCUCUUCUAGGCCUCUGGGCCUGUGAUGAGAGGGGCUGCUAGUCUGAUAUGCCCUGGAGACAAUUUCCCCAUUGUCUUGGCUAUUAACAUUCGGCUCUUUCACCUGUGCAAAUUUCUGCAGCCUGCUUGAAUUCCUCCCCAGAAAAUGCGUUUUCUUUUCUACACAUGGUCAGGCUGCAAAUUUUCCAAACCUUUAUUCUUUGCUUCCCUUUUAUCCAUUUUCUCAUCCACUCCCAUUCUGAGCCUCUUGUAACCAUCAUUUUGCUCUCUACUUCUGUGAGUUCACCUCUUUUAGAUUCACUUAUAAGUGAGAUCAUGUGGUAUUUGUCUUUCUGUGCCUUGCUUAUUUCAUUUAACAUAAUGUCCUCCAGGUUUGGCUAUAUUGUUGAAAAUGACACAAUUUCCCUCUUUUAAAGGCUGAAUUGUAUUCCAUUUUGUAUCUAUACUACAUUUUUAAAUUGUUUUACUUUUAAGAGUACCAUGCUUUUUAUAUCUUAUUAAGGAAAUCUUUUGUUUCCUUAUAGAUUAUUCAUAAU